This is a long non-coding RNA of Oryzias javanicus (javanese ricefish), 2030 nucleotides long. Lineage: Eukaryota; Metazoa; Chordata; Actinopteri; Beloniformes; Adrianichthyidae. The record is from Ensembl.
UGACACAUCUGCUCUAUCAGCUCAAAGCUCUCAGUUAAACUACGUCUCAAAAUAACUGACACGUACUUUACGCAGCAGUCAUGGUCCCUCCGAUUUAAGGAAUGCUUUAAUUGUGGGACCCCACAUAAUGUUUUCAUGGUGAGUGUCGACAUCACUUCCUCUUUCUUUUUUGCUCCUCUGUCAGAGCUCCAGCUGCUCUUUAGAAAACCCUCUGAGUUGUGUGGUGGGGGAAAUAUCUGCCAGACAAGGCAACGUGAGCCUGACUCAGAGGCAGGUCUUCUCUGACAGCAUCAUCCAGCUCUCCGGGGACAACACAGUUGUGCACAGAUCUCUUGUGCUAAAGGAUGGUGACACCAUUGUUGCAUGUGCAGACAUCCUCCCAGACUCCCCAUCAUCAGAGCAGACCUUUCCCAAUGUCCCUAACUUCAGCCGGUUUGAUUUCCGUAGAAGGGUUGCAGACGUCCUCCAGGUGGAAACAGCGAGGGUCACCAUCCUGCCCGGCUCGCCCUUCACUGUUCAGGGCAGCGAGUGCCAGAGGGUCAACUACAUGGUGUCCGGUGAGGUCAGCGCAGACCAGCUGAGCUCUGUGAAAACCAGCGCGGCCAUGGGGGUCUUCAGGGAGUCCGAUUUGUGUACAAAGUCUGCAGGAGGUGCAGGCCUGCUGCUGCCGGGACGGCUCCUUCUGGCUCUGAUGUUCCCCGUCGCCGUCCUGCUGCCAUCCACAGCGUAGAGAGAACGAGCGUCACCAGUCAAGACACGUGGAUACUAAUGGAAAAUAUGGUUGUAAUUAGGGGUGUAACGAAUCACGGAAAAUCUGUGGUCAGAACGGAUCAGAGGCCACGGUUCAGGACACGUGUGUUCGGCAGACCGCUCCAACGCCCACCCCCCCACACCCCACACAUCGCGCUAGCAUAAUUUAAUAAUCGGUACACUUUACUAUUACUGGGUUCAAAUAAUCUCCCAGUUUAAAGCAGCAACUGUCCCGCACAGAAGAAUCUGCUUCUCUGUAACGGACUUGCUGGUACCGACACCGAACGAUUGUAUGGCAAGCCAAAGGUGUCAAAAAUCACCAGGAACCGCGGAAGUGCCAUGUUUUACAGAUAAUUAUGAUUUAAAACAUUUAAAUGUUCCCACAGCUAGUUUCAAUAAAGCAAUUAAUACCAAAAAAUAAUUGUAACUGUUUUAUUUAUGAUUUAAUUCUAAGGAAUAAUCCAGAUAGAUUUGGUAUUUUGAACACUAUUUUUAAGAAUCCUUUUCUUUCAGUUUUUGUAGAUUUGGUCUAAAGACAUGAAAAUGUCAUCAGAAACUGAAUGUUUUAGAAUUUUGUUUGUGUUCAAAGUUCAAAUAUGUUUUGUUUUAAUAAAUUGGCUUAGAUGACCAAAUGUUUUGUUGUAACAUAUGUAAAUAUUGUGUGUGUGAGGUACUUUAAAUGCUGAUUGAAUAUAUGAUUUGAAACAUUUCCAAAAAUUAAUUUACCUUUUAUAUUGUUGUUUUUUGUCGCUUUUUUUUUUUUUUUUACUUUUUACUGAUCCAUAAAAUGAUCCGAACCGUGACCCUAAAACCGUGACACGAUCCGAACUGUGAGUUUUGUGAUCCGUUACACCCCCAGUUGUAAUGGCACCUGCCCCCCUGGAACUCUGAAAGGGAUCAGGCGGGUUUGGAAAAUGAAUGAAUGCUUAUGGUUAUGAAGUGUUGUUCUGGUUUUCAGAAAAGACGUUAAAUAUUUCCUUGUAUAUAUUCCAAAAGCAAACAGAGAUUUUUCUUUUCUUUAUUUUAAAGUGAAGUAUUUUCAAUAAAUAAUUUGGUUUUGGAUCCAAUUUUUAUUUCUGUUGACUUGAGCACAAUUUACUGGUUUAUACCUUUUUGGGUUUUAAUUUAUGCAUUACUUUCGUUUGAUUUAAAGGUUUUUUAUUUAAACUUGUAAAUAAAGGCACAAACACUGUACUGUGAUCUGAUGGCUUUGACUUUUACUUUGAUCUGUUGCAUCAAACAAGUUUAAAAGCCCCCUCCCAUGAAAAUCCUGUCUUGAG